UUCGGUGGUCAUAGCGUUAGGGAAACGCCCGGUCACAUUCCGAACCCGGAAGCUAAGCCUUUCAGCGCCGAUGGUACUGCAGGGGGGACCCUGUGGGAGAGUAGGACACCGCCGAACAA
RNAcentral lists this ribosomal RNA (119 nucleotides) under Actinacidiphila reveromycinica. Lineage: Bacteria; Bacillati; Actinomycetota; Actinomycetes; Kitasatosporales; Streptomycetaceae. The record is from RNAcentral.